This is a long non-coding RNA of Gallus gallus (chicken), 2076 nucleotides long. The record is from Ensembl. Lineage: Eukaryota; Metazoa; Chordata; Aves; Galliformes; Phasianidae.
GCAGGGCAGCUCUUGAGGUAAUGAGGAGUUUUGAGCAGCUGUGAGGGAGAGGUAAAACUGCCUCCUUCCUUCCUGUCUUCUUCUUUACACCUUAGUAAGUCUUCAAAUGUGCUUAUGGUUUGUUGUUAUUUAUUUACUUUAACAUCUGCCUUAAACCAAGUGUGUUCUCCAGUCUGUCUCAUUUUCUGCCCCAUUAGGGAAUACCGUGAAAACUCUGCUGCUUGCAGGGUUUUUGCUGGUGUUUCUGCUAGUCCUUGCAGCCUCUGCUCACUACUGUUCUGUUACGCUGGUUUUAGUUCCUCUUGGGCUUACAGCCAAAUGCUCUGGUCAGUGAUAGUGCUUCUAGUUUAUGAAUCCUUUCUGCACUGAAAGGAGAGUAUACGUUUCACUUCCAUUUAUUUUCAACAAAACAGAGGGUACGAUACUUUCGUUCUUAGUGAUAUCUCUUACAGAGGCAGGCUAGCAGUUUGUUUUCGAUGAUGCAGGUAAAUUUACUACUAUGCAAGUCCUGAAAUUAAAGUAAUGAAAAGAUAGCGUAGCGUUGCCUGUCAAUUUCAGGAAUAUUUUCAAAUUUUGAGUAUAUGUUGCGUAAGCCUCAAGUAUUCGCCUGUGCUUCUGUGUACCGUUGCACUUUGGGGCCUGUAGCUUGAAUGCUUUUGCUCCAGAAAUGCCCCUUAUCCAUAGGAAUUUGUAAGCUAGUUGAGAAUGGAAGUCCUGCCAGGAUGACAAUUACCUGUGCAUGUAAAUAUGAAGCAAAAAUUUUACUCUUACAGAAGACUGAUCUCAGGAAACGGAAUGCUUUUCAGACUCUGAUUUAUUUGUCCCAUAAUGCCUUAGCAGUCUGUAACCUUAGUUUUCCACAUUUGUAUUCAUUUGUGCGUAUUUCGAGGUGGCUUGUCAUGGUGUAAUAUUUUUUCUGUUCUUCCAUUGAAUCCAGCAUUAUCUUCAUGUCUGCACUAUGUCAUGUUUAGCAUUUACUUAUCUCAAUGUUGUGUUAGAUUGACAUUUCAUAUUUUGCUGCAAAUCUGGCAGGUUGUACCUCUGUGAGGGCUGCUUCUUACUUGAAAAGUACUUUGAGCAAUGGAAAACAACACUGGAAGAGAGCUGGGUAGUUUCUCCUGCUACGUGGGUUGUGCUGAGUGGGUCAGUAAGAGCAGCAGUGGGCUGAGUGCCCAAGUCUCUGGCAAAGGAGUCCCAGAGGUGGAACCAGAAACUCCGUAGUAAGGCUGUAAACAAAAACAAGUUCGAGGAAAGCGUAAGCAGUUCCAGGAAGCAGCCGUCUCCAUUUGUUAGCAACCUCAUUCUUUGCACGUUCCUCCCAAAAGUGCUUCCCACAACUUGUAAGUCAUUUUGUCAAAUCUUACUUAAGUUUCAGCCUGGUUUCUCUCAUUCCUCUUUGGCAGUAAAUUCUGUUGGAGUGGAGCCCACCGUGGGGCUGCAUCUCUGCGAGUCAGGACCGAUGGGAACAUUCUGGGUAUGAGAGCAUUUAAGUGAGAGUUUUGAGCUAAGCUAAGCCAUUUACAGGCAUCUUUGUCUCAGGGCGAUGCCAACAGUUUCAUGAAACAUAGCAUGGUUUUCCUGUAGAUGAGCCACAUGAGGGGAAAAUGUGAAAACACUCAAAUAAAUGGUUUUCUAGCCGAAUCUGUUCUCUUUGAGGUGAGACAUCUGCAUACAUCCAUCUAACUUGAGAUGGGUGGGAAGAUCUGCCAGAUCAGCUGGAUUUUGCAUUCUCUCAGUUGAUAAUGCUGAGUUUGGAGUGUGAAUUUUUGGAAGACCUUCUGUUAUUGCAGGUGCUGUGAGUCUGUGUUAGCAGGUUGUCACUGUUGUUUUGAAGGUGGCUGUUGCCAUAUGUCGUCCAGCUUGGAGGUGCCUGUUUAUUCAGUUGAUUCAUCAUUAUUGUCACAGAAACAGAUUUUUUUUUAAUAGAAAGCAAGGCAAUAGAUUUUGCUAAAUGCAAGUUCAUAAGACUGAAAGGAAAAAAGGAGUUUUAUCAGCUGUUUCAUUGCUCAGUUUAAGAUCUGGUCCAUUUUUCAGCCACUAAAUGAAGUACCCAGGUCUCUGAAGGAUCAUCAAGAA